ACGAAGGGUGCAAGCGUUAAUCGGAAUUACUGGGCGUAAAGCGCGCGUAGGUGGUUUGUUAAGUUGGAUGUGAAAGCCCCGGGCUCAACCUGGGAACUGCAUCCAAAACUGGCAAGCUAGAGUAUGGCAGAGGGUGGUGGAAUUUCCUGUGUAGCGGUGAAAUGCGUAGAUAUAGGAAGGAACACCAGUGGCGAAGGCGACCACCUGGGCUAAUACUGACACUGAGGUGCGAAAGCGUGGGGAGCAAACAGG
RNAcentral lists this ribosomal RNA (252 nucleotides) under uncultured bacterium. RNAcentral describes it as "partial 16S ribosomal RNA". It matches the Rfam family "Bacterial small subunit ribosomal RNA", at positions 525 to 776 of the family's 1533-position model. The record is from RNAcentral.